RNAcentral lists this transfer RNA (96 nucleotides) under Streptomyces sp. SID2999. Its description in RNAcentral is "tRNA-Sec". It matches the Rfam family "Selenocysteine transfer RNA". Lineage: Bacteria; Bacillati; Actinomycetota; Actinomycetes; Kitasatosporales; Streptomycetaceae. The record is from RNAcentral.
GGAGGCGUAAGGGCGCCUGGUGGCCCUCCCGGUCUUCAAAACCGAGGUGUCCGAGCAGCUCGGGCAGGUGGGUUCGAUUCCCAUCCGUCUCCGCCA